Molecule: transfer RNA, 68 nt
Filed under: Hydrochoerus hydrochaeris (capybara)
Lineage: Eukaryota; Metazoa; Chordata; Mammalia; Rodentia; Hydrochaeridae
Description: tRNA-Val
Source: RNAcentral
AAAGUGUAGCUUAAAACAAAGCGUCCGGCCUACACCCGGAAGAUUUCAACCAUCAACGACCACUUUGA